Molecule: ribosomal RNA, 253 nt
Filed under: uncultured bacterium
Lineage: Bacteria
Description: partial 16S ribosomal RNA
Rfam family: Bacterial small subunit ribosomal RNA
Source: RNAcentral
UACGUAGGGUGCGAGCGUUGUCCGGAAUUAUUGGGCGUAAAGAGCUCGUAGGCGGUCUGUCGCGUCUGCUGUGAAAACCCGAGGCUCAACCUCGGGCCUGCAGCGGGUACGGGCAGACUAGAGUGCGGUAGGGGAGAAUGGAAUUCCUGGUGUAGCGGUGGAAUGCGCAGAUAUCAGGAGGAACACCGAUGGCGAAGGCAGUUCUCUGGGCCGUAACUGACGCUGAGGAGCGAAAGCGUGGGGAGCGAACAGG